This 253-nucleotide ribosomal RNA is filed under the name uncultured bacterium. RNAcentral's name for it is "partial 16S ribosomal RNA". It matches the Rfam family "Bacterial small subunit ribosomal RNA", at positions 524 to 776 of the family's 1533-position model. The record is from RNAcentral.
UACGUAGGGGGCAAGCGUUGUCCGGAUUUAUUGGGCGUAAAGAGCGUGUAGGCGGUCUGGUAGGUCCGUUGUGAAAACUCGAGGCUCAACCUCGAGACGCCGAUGGAAACCAUUAGACUAGAGUCCGGAAGAGGAGAGUGGAAUUCCUGGUGUAGCGGUGAAAUGCGCAGAUAUCAGGAAGAACACCCGUGGCUAAGGCGGCUCUCUAGUACGGUACUGACGCUGAGACGCGAAAGCGUGGGGAGCGAACAGG